Molecule: ribosomal RNA, 468 nt
Filed under: uncultured bacterium
Lineage: Bacteria
Description: partial 16S ribosomal RNA
Rfam family: Bacterial small subunit ribosomal RNA
Source: RNAcentral
GACGAACGCUGGCGGCGUGCUUAACACAUGCAAGUCGAACGGAAAGGCCCUGCUUUUGUGGGGUGCUCGAGUUGCGAACGGGUGAGUAACACGUGAGUAACCUGCCCUUGACUUUGGGAUAACUUCAUGAAACUUGGGCUAAUACCGGAUAGGAGCUCCUGCUUCAUGGUGGGGGUUGGAAAGUUUCGGCGGUUGGGGAUGGACUCGCGGCUUAUCAGCUUGUUGGUGGGGUAGUGGCUUACCAAGGCUUUGACGGGUAGCCGGCCUGAGAGGGUGACCGGCCAAAUUGGGACUGAGAUACGGCCCAGACUACUACGGGAGGCAGCAGUGGGGAAUAUUGCACAAUGGGCGGAAGCCUGAUGCAGCAACGCCGCGUGCGGGAUGACGGCCUUCGGGUUGUAAACCGCUUUCGCCUGUGACGAAGCGUGAGUGACGGUAAUGGGUAAAGAAGCACCGGCUAACUACGUG